This is a non-coding RNA of Lolium perenne, 2378 nucleotides long. The record is from RefSeq and is a predicted model, not a curated record. Lineage: Eukaryota; Viridiplantae; Streptophyta; Magnoliopsida; Poales; Poaceae.
GCCAAUCUUCCCACCUCCCCCAUCGUUUCGUCAACCUCCGAGCCUCACAUCGGCCAGAUCCGUCCGCAACAACCUCUUCUUCUACCUCCCCUCAUUCGUGCCGGUCUGAUCUCGCGACCUCAAGAUGCCACAGGUUGCGCCCGAUGCCGACGGCGUCAUCAGGCUCGCCGAGUUCGUGGCGCUGAACGCUACCGUUGACGGGGACGACGCCGCCGUUGUGGAGGACCUGCGGCUCGCCUUUGGGUCCUUAGACGUCGACGGCAGCGGCGCCAUGUCCUCCACCGAGCUUGCACACGUCCUCCACUGCCUCGGGUAGAAGGCCACCGGCAUGCAGUGCCGCCGCAUGGUCGAGGGCAUCACCAAGAACUGCGCCGGACUCAUAUCCUUCGAGGACUUCAUGGUCAUAAUGGCCUGAUGCUGCACCGUUUUGGCCAGAUCUGAGACUGCAGUGAGGGGUUCAGCAAGCGAAGCACCUUCUUUGCAAUUUCCGUGGGAAAUUUCCAUGAAAGGUUUAAUUCAGGCAUCAGGGCAAUUGUUAGUUCAACGAUUGUUAAUUCUGCACAUGUAUAUAUGAGCAGCGACACCUUCUUUGCACUCCCGUAGAAUCAGGUUCAGUUCAGGGCCUUUAUUGUGCAGCUAGAAAUCCACAGUAUAUCCAUCUUUUAUUUCAGCAAAGGUUCUUUGGGGAUUUGUGGCUAGUUGCAGGUGUAUUAUGUCAAUGAAAUCUUAGUACUUCCCCAGAGAAAUUAUCUGCUAGCAUAUGAGCUUAGUUGGCAUUUAACAAGUUUACACGAUCAUCUCCAAAAAAAAUGUAGUAAACACAUAUUCUCAACAUUGGGACUGUAGCUUUGCUUUUCAUUGCUAUGUAUGUCUAUGCUUGCUUGCUUUCAAAUCUAACGGAAGCCAAUUAUUGUUGGACAAAUAAUCGCUAAAUUUAAGUUUUUUUAUUCAAAACUCAUCAACACAUAUUCAGAGAAGUGUAUGUAGUUCAGUAUCACAAAUUAGCUACCCUUGUGGGCCUUCAUACGAAGGCCAAACAACAAUCGAUGUUGCCACUUUGUACAUGCAAAUUUAGUUUAACCUACCGUUGCUUGGUUUGCUACUGAUGUGGCUAAAAAGAUAUUGUUGAAGGCUAUUCUUUACAUUGCCAAGUUAAGUAAUUUGCUAAUUGUUCUAGAAUCACCACUUUCCUCUGAAUCUGGUAUAAGCUAUAUUGUCAACAAUUCAACAUAAGUGGUCUCUGUGUUGUUAUAUUAGGAAAAUGCUAGGAAUAUGGAAAACAAUGGUAUACGAUGCAUAUAUAUAUUUAUAAUAUUAUAAUUUAUGAAAACAAUGUCAUGUUACAGCAUGAGUUUUAGUCUGUGUGAUCAUGUAUGUUAGCUAUAAAGCUAUUCAUCAGGAGAUGGUUUAAUUCUUACAGCAACAAGUUUUUCCACUGAUUUGUCCUCGUUGGUUUGCAUGGCCAAAAUUUUGGUAAGAUACAUUUAGUUUUGAAGUCUAAAUGGAAAUAGUUUGUGCAAGGAGCAGGUAUAAGCUUCUUUACUCAUUGCUUAAUACUGAAAAAGUGCAUUCAGCUAUUUCAUGAGUACCGUCUAGUAGAGAUGGCUUAUCAGUAUUGAAAAGGAACAUGCAAUCCGAUGCCUUCUCAACGCUAUCUGUUAUGUUUUAUUCUCUGAAGGCUUUGUCUUGCAGUAUGUUAAUGUUUUAAUCUAUUGUCCAGGUUGAGCCAGCAAUUGGUAAAAUAAAGGAGAAUUCAAGAACUGGAGAAAUUGGCCACGGGAAGAUAUUCUGGCGACAGUGGAAGGCAGGAUGCUAGUUCAUACUGUUAUUUUGUUAGCCCAGUGUACCAAAUGGCACGGCCUAGUCCUGUCUAUUGUCAUCUAAUGAGUGCUGCAUAGCUAUUACCGAACCCAUCGUUGAGAGGGCAUGCGCGUAGCUGUGUUUCUGCUUACAGCGUUUUGGACAUGGUCAAGUUGCAGGACAUGAGGUCACAGGCUGCUCAAAUGGUGGCAAUGAUGCUGCCCAAAUUUGGCAUCAGGUAGAAUGCCAUCAAGAUGAAGUUCAACACCGAACUAGUGAUGAGCCUACAGGAGUAGUGGCAUACCAUCUCCUAGCCCCAGGAAAGGCUUCAUCGUCUAAUGAUAGGACCAGAUUUUGAAGAGGCGUUGGUUAUCGGGAGGCGAGAUAAAUACAGGACAAUGGACGUGCUUCUAUCUUCUGCGAGCAACAUCACAGAAGGGCUGCCCAGUUGUGCAUCAUUCUUCCCGUAUAUGGGCUUGCACUGCCCCAAGACAACAUAUGACACGUGAAAUCCUGCACAACAAAAAUAGUAUCAUUAUAUGAUGUAAUGGGUUACUUGUCUGUUAUUUGCAGCAUUA